RNAcentral lists this ribosomal RNA (473 nucleotides) under uncultured bacterium. Its description in RNAcentral is "SSU rRNA". It matches the Rfam family "Bacterial small subunit ribosomal RNA", at positions 26 to 518 of the family's 1533-position model. The record is from RNAcentral.
AGGACGAACGCUGGCGGCGUGCUUAACACAUGCAAGUCGAGCGGAAAGGCCCUUCGGGGUACUCGAGCGGCGAACGGGUGAGUAACACGUGAGUAAUCUGCCCCUAGCUCUGGGAUAGCUCCGGGAAACCGGGAUUAAUACCGGAUACGACCACCUUAGACAUCUUUUGUGGUGGAAAGAAUUUCGGCUAGGGAUGAGCUCGCGGCCUAUCAGCUUGUUGGUGGGGUAAUGGCCUACCAAGGCGACGACGGGUAGCCGGCCUGAGAGGGCGACCGGCCACACUGGGACUGAGACACGGCCCAGACUCCUACGGGAGGCAGCAGUGGGGAAUAUUGCGCAAUGGGCGAAAGCCUGACGCAGCGACGCCGCGUGGGGGAUGAAGGCCUUCGGGUUGUAAACCCCUUUCAGCAGGGACGAAGCGAAGUGACGGUACCUGCAGAAGAAGCGCCGGCUAACUACGCGCCAGCAGCCGC